CUUUGCCUUCUUAGUUGAAAUUGAUUUUGUGUGCUCUGCCCAUGAUGAGAAUGAUUGAAAUUUUAUAAGGCAAAACUGGAAAAGAUGAAAUUGUUAAUGAACGGUGUUACUGAAUUUCUUUAAAAUUGUUAUGUGGAGGAUUAAUUUUGGUGGUUCUGUUAAAUGAGACAUUAGGAUUUCUGAAUCGUAGGGGAAAUGCUGGUUGUGAGUGCAGUUGAUGAAUUGGUAUGUUGGGUGUAUCCACUGCAUGAAAUUUGUUUUGGUCUGUGCAUUCUUUAGUGGAACUGGAACAUGAGUGCCUUUACGUUGACAGUUGUUGUUAAUGGACACCGACCUUUUUUUCCCCCAAAAGGAUUAUCCUCGUCAACACCUUUCCUUUUGGAUCUUAAUGGUUGUAAAUCUUGUGCUUGUUAUGGUUUUCUCGACUUGCUCAUUCAGCAACUAAUGCGCUUGUUUAUAAUGUCUAGUGUGGUUCAGGAGGUGAUUAAGAUGCAAUCUGUCCAGCAUUUUUUGGAACCUAUUCUGGAGCCAUUGAU
RNAcentral lists this unclassified non-coding RNA (536 nucleotides) under Hevea brasiliensis (rubber tree). Lineage: Eukaryota; Viridiplantae; Streptophyta; Magnoliopsida; Malpighiales; Euphorbiaceae. The record is from RNAcentral.